Molecule: ribosomal RNA, 468 nt
Filed under: uncultured bacterium
Lineage: Bacteria
Description: partial 16S ribosomal RNA
Rfam family: Bacterial small subunit ribosomal RNA
Source: RNAcentral
GACGAACGCUGGCGGCGUGCUUAACACAUGCAAGUCGAACGGAAAGGCCCUGCUUUUGUGGGGUGCUCGAGUGGCGAACGGGUGAGUAACACGUGAGUAACCUGCCCUUGACUUUGGGAUAACUUCAGGAAACUGGGGCUAAUACAGGAUAGGAGCUCCUGCUGCAUGGUGGGGGUUGGAAAGUUUCGGCGGUUGGGGAUGGACUCGCGGCUUAUCGGCUUGUUGGUGGGGUAGUGGCUGACCAAGGCUUUGACGGGUAGCCGGCCUGAGAGGGUGAACGGGCACAUUGGGACUGAGAGACGGCCCAGACGCCUACGGGAGGCAGCAGUGGGGAAUAUGGCACAAUGGGCGGAAGCCUGAUGCAGCAACGCCGCGUGCGGGAUGACGUCCUUCGGGUUGUAAACCGCUUUCGCCUGUGACGAAGCGUGAGUGACGGUAAUGGGUAAAGAAGCACCGGCUAACUACGUG